Molecule: unclassified non-coding RNA, 478 nt
Filed under: Penicillium corylophilum
Lineage: Eukaryota; Fungi; Ascomycota; Eurotiomycetes; Eurotiales; Aspergillaceae
Description: sequence contains 18S rRNA gene, ITS1, 5.8S rRNA gene, 28S rRNA gene
Rfam family: 5.8S ribosomal RNA (bases 100-253)
Source: RNAcentral
GGCCGCCGGGGGGCUUCUGCCCUCUGGCCCGCGCCCGCCGAAGACACCAUUGAACACUGUCUGAAGAUUGCAGUCUGAGCAAUUAGCUAAAUAAGUUAAAACUUUCAACAACGGAUCUCUUGGUUCCGGCAUCGAUGAAGAACGCAGCGAAAUGCGAUACGUAAUGUGAAUUGCAGAAUUCAGUGAAUCAUCGAGUCUUUGAACGCACAUUGCGCCCCUUGGUAUUCCGGGGGGCAUGCCUGUCCGAGCGUCAUUGCUGCCCUCAAGCACGGCUUGUGUGUUGGGCCCCGUCCUCCUUCCCGGGGGACGGGCCCGAAAGGCAGCGGCGGCACCGCGUCCGGUCCUCGAGCGUAUGGGGCUUUGUCACCCGCUCUUGUAGGCCCGGCCGGCGCUUGCCGACAACCAUCAAUCUUUUUUCAGGUUGACCUCGGAUCAGGUAGGGAUACCCGCUGAACUUAAGCAUAUCAAUAAGCGGAGG